RNAcentral lists this unclassified non-coding RNA (2394 nucleotides) under Hevea brasiliensis (rubber tree). The record is from RNAcentral. Lineage: Eukaryota; Viridiplantae; Streptophyta; Magnoliopsida; Malpighiales; Euphorbiaceae.
UUACUUUUAAAAAACCUCAUCAACCUCCUCUCAAACAAAGGGUAAAGUGAUCUAUGAGCACAAAAAAGAAAAUGAUGGAUUAAGGAGGCCAUCUCCCCAUCUAAUCUACCGCUAUAUAGAAAAACUCCAGAGCUGUCUUUCUUCUAUAAAUCCAACAAAAGCUGCAUUUGCAACAUAGAUUACAAUGACGAACUUACGAUGACAUACAAAGCCAAUCAAAUUACACUUAAGUUUAGUCGCUUGUGUGAUUUAAAACCGCAAGAACAAUAUCUCUCACUUGUAUAGUUAUCAAAAGACAACCAAAUAUAAAAAAUCUUGCAUCCAGAAGUGAAGUUCACCAUAUUCAUGCUUGGAGAUGCUCGAGCAAAGAUGCCCAGUUAGUGCAGAUUUCCAACCCUUGAUUUUUACAAUCAGUUUGUACAAACAAGAUGCUUAGUCAGGCAAAGCAGUUCCUCGCUCAAGAUUGUUCUUAAUCUCCAGCGUGUAUUUGCCAAAAGCUCGUUCAAUCUUCUUAUUGAAAUGCUCAUUACGGUCAUUAAUCGAGUCAAUAUCCUUCUCUUCACGGAACCUCCUCCUUCGACUAAAUGACUUGCGUUUCUCCUCCCGGUCAUUGAGUUCCUUCACCAUCCGGUCAAUCUUGUCCUCAGAUAUCUUGGGUGCCUUUCCAUAUUGAAGACUUGAGGCUUCACGGUAGAACUCAGGAUCAGCUUCUUUCAUUUUGUUAUAUUCUUCUAGAUCAACCUCGAUGUUCUUUGACCGCUUUUUAUGCGCAUUGUAGAGUGUCUUCUGAUUGAAAACAUCCCAACCAAAUGGAGCAGGAUCUUUUUCCCAUUUUUUAUAUUUUGCCUCAGCGGCCUCUUGUGUAUCCAGCAUGUAUGCCUCUUUCAUAUCCAAACCAUUUGCAUCUAAAAGUUUUCCAAUUUUUUUCUUCCUAUCUUCAAGCCAUUUUUGUUUAGAAAUGCCUCUUGAUUCUGGUGCAGCUUCCAUUUUUUUCUUUUCAGCUACCAUUGCUGUUUGAUUGGCUUUUCUAGCCUCAUUCAUCUUAAGCCUCAACUCAAACAAUUUUUUCUGCCUCCCAGUAAGUUGUGUACCAUCUCCUUCCACAUUUUCCUGGACUGGAUGAUUGUCGUCAUCAUCAGACUCUUCUUCAAAAACUGAUCUUUCAUCAUGCUGUACCUCAUCUUGCUCAGAAGCAAGUGUGGUGGACCCAUAAUUUCCACCUUUAUCUUGCACAACUUCUGAUUAUAGUAGAAAAAAAUGUCAAUCAGUUAAAUAAAUAAACAUGAUCUAACAAUGAUUGUGCACCUACUACUGGGAUGGAAUCCCAUAAAUUUUGAAGUAAAGAAUCUUCUACAAGCAUCAAAUUCAAAAAAAUAAAGAUCGUUGUUACCACAGAUUAUGCAAAAGGGAAAUGGCAUGUACAUGAAUUUACAUCUUUCUGUAUGUUUCAUUUUUCCAUCAUUAAUAUUAGGAACAACCAUGGUUAAGAAAGGCAAUAGAAUAGCAAAAGAGUUUUUAUAAGUACCUGUUUCUUUCUUACUCAUUUGUGCCAUAGCUUCUGCAAUUUUUCUGAAGCAAUAUUCCACACACUCAUGGUAUGGAUUAGAUGCAUUUAUACAAUCUGGGUGCACUCUCCUUUCUCCAGCCAUCUUCUGCUAAUUUGACCACCUUCUACACUACUGUAAUUCCAAUGAUUAAACUUCUAUUUUCAAUUAAAACAGCUGCAAACCCAUUACCAUAGCAUGAAAUUAUUUCAAACACUGACAACAAUCACACCUAGUUUCUUAACAGGUACUAAUUCAAAUAAAAAUCUCACCUAGGAUUCCAAAUUAUGUUUUUCACUAUAAUUAACUAAUACAUUCAAUGAGCCCUUAUCAAAUAAAUGCAUCACAAGAAACAAAAUAAAAGCAAUUUAACUACAUGUUUUCCUAAAGAAUCAUAAUUUAUGCUAUUUAGUACUAAAAAAAAUCGAGCUUAAAAAAAUCGAGCUAGUUUUCUUUCUUCAUUAAAAAAUCAAUAACCCAAGAAAAAAGAAUUGUUCCUUCAUGAGCUAAUCAAGUCAAAAACGGAUUAAAAGGUAAGGAAUUUGAUGUUCCCGCAGUUCCUAGGCAACCAAACAAACGUUAACAUUCACAAAAUCAAAACCAACCCUAGAAGUCGCGACUAGUCAGAAUUGAAAUUAAGACGAGAAAUCAAGGGUAAAAAGAAGACGAGAAAAGAUAAUCAAAGAGCCAAACCUGUGAAAGAGAUUGCUUUCUCUAUGAUCUAACGUCUCCCUAGCUUAAAGGGAACGGGAUAAAGGAAAUCAGAGAAUUUGGCUAGGGAUUUUCGAUAUUCCUUUGCAUAUGUUAUCCUUAUACAGAGGCUCCAGAGUCUGUCCUAGGCCCAACCGAG